This 287-nucleotide long non-coding RNA is filed under the name Eutrema salsugineum. Its description in RNAcentral is "long non-coding RNA (ESAL_LNC001143)". The record is from RNAcentral. Lineage: Eukaryota; Viridiplantae; Streptophyta; Magnoliopsida; Brassicales; Brassicaceae.
CGUGACGAGACUGACCUAAGAUCUGGACAACAGAUUCCUCUAUCUCCCGGAGACCGUCGGAGACCAUACGGAUCGGAUUGGACUCAUCGAAUCCGAUAUCCGCCGCGGCCGAUGCGGCGAUGAGAAUCACCAGAACCACCGAUGGUAGGAUUGUUUUCACAGACAUGGUUUCUUCUCGUGGUCUUCUGGUUCUUACUUUUUCUCAACGCUACAGCUUCAGUGGUUUAGCUCGAGAGAUAGAAGGAAGACUAGAAGACGGAAGAGAGAUACGGCCGGGAAAGUUAUCG